GUAGCCGGCCUGAGAGGGCGACCGGCCACACUGGGACUGAGACACGGCCCAGACUCCUACGGGAGGCAGCAGUGGGGAAUAUUGCACAAUGGGCGAAAGCCUGAUGCAGCGACGCCGCGUGAGGGAUGACGGCCUUCGGGUUGUAAACCUCUUUCAGCAGGGACGAAGCGAAAGUGACGGUACCUGCAGAAGAAGCGCCGGCCAACUACGUGCCAGCAGCCGCGGUAAUACGUAGGGCGCGAGCGUUGUCCGGAAUUAUUGGGCGUAAAGAGCUCGUAGGCGGUUUGUUGCGUCGGCUGUGAAAACCCGGGGCUCAACCCCGGGCCUGCAGCCGAUACGGGCAAGCUAGAAUUCGGUAGGGGAGACUGGAAUUCCUGGUGUAGCGGUGAAAUGCGCAGAUAUCAGGAGGAACACCGGUGGCGAAGGCGGGUCUCUGGGCCGAUAUUGACGCUGAGGAGCGAAAGCGUGGGGAGCGAACAGGAUUAGAUACCCUGGUAGUCCACGCCGUAAACGUUGGGCGCUAGGUGUGGG
RNAcentral lists this ribosomal RNA (531 nucleotides) under uncultured bacterium. RNAcentral's name for it is "bacterial SSU rRNA". It matches the Rfam family "Bacterial small subunit ribosomal RNA", at positions 283 to 826 of the family's 1533-position model. The record is from RNAcentral.